UAUUAGGUUGGUGCAAAAGUAAUUGUGGCUUUUGACAAUGGCAAAAAACACAAUUACUUUUGCACCAAUCUAAUA
Molecule: microRNA precursor, 75 nt
Filed under: Saimiri boliviensis boliviensis (Bolivian squirrel monkey)
Lineage: Eukaryota; Metazoa; Chordata; Mammalia; Primates; Cebidae
Description: miRNA (ENSSBOG00000009971.1)
Source: RNAcentral